AGGUCUCAAGCGUUGUUCGGAUUCAUUGGGCGUAAAGGGUGCGUAGGCGGCGCGGUAAGUCGGGUGUGAAAUCUCGGAGCUUAACUCCGAAACUGCAUUCGAUACUGCCGUGCUUGAGGACUGGAGAGGAGACUGGAAUUUACGGUGUAGCGGUGAAAUGCGUAGAUAUCGUAAGGAAGACCAGUGGCGAAGGCGGGUCUCUGGACAGUUCCUGACGCUGAGACGCGAAAGCGUGGGGAGCAAACAGG
RNAcentral lists this ribosomal RNA (248 nucleotides) under uncultured bacterium. RNAcentral describes it as "partial 16S ribosomal RNA". It matches the Rfam family "Bacterial small subunit ribosomal RNA", at positions 529 to 776 of the family's 1533-position model. The record is from RNAcentral.